This 403-nucleotide ribosomal RNA is filed under the name uncultured prokaryote. Its description in RNAcentral is "bacterial SSU rRNA". It matches the Rfam family "Bacterial small subunit ribosomal RNA", at positions 355 to 776 of the family's 1533-position model. The record is from RNAcentral.
UGGGGAAUAUUGCACAAUGGGCGAAAGCCUGAUGCAGCAACGCCGCGUGAGCGAUGAAGGCCUUCGGGUCGUAAAGCUCUGUCCUCAAGGAAGAUGAUGACGGUACUUGAGGAGGAAGCCCCGGCUAACUACGUGCCAGCAGCCGCGGUAAUACGUAGGGGGCUAGCGUUAUCCGGAAUUACUGGGCGUAAAGGGUGAGUAGGCGGUUGUAUAUGUCAGGUGUAAAAGGCUAUGGCUUAACCAUGGUUAGCACUUGAAACUGUACAACUUGAGUGCAGGAGAGGUAAGUGGAAUUCCUAGUGUAGCGGUGAAAUGCGUAGAUAUUAGGAGGAACACCAGUGGCGAAGGCGACUUACUGGACUGUAACUGACGCUGAGUCACGAAAGCGUGGGUAGCAAACAGG